GACGUAGGGCGCGAGCGUUGUCCGGAUUUAUUGGGCGUAAAGAGCUCGUAGGCGGUCAGUCGCGUCUGCUGUGAAAACUCGGGGCUUAACUCCGGGCCUGCAGUGGGUACGGGCUGACUAGAGUGCGGUAGGGGAGACUGGAAUUCCUGGUGUAGCGGUGAAAUGCGCAGAUAUCAGGAGGAACACCGGUGGCGAAGGCGGGUCUCUGGGCCGUAGCUGACGCUGAGGAGCGAAAGCGUGGGGAGCGAACAGG
RNAcentral lists this ribosomal RNA (253 nucleotides) under uncultured bacterium. RNAcentral's name for it is "partial 16S ribosomal RNA". It matches the Rfam family "Bacterial small subunit ribosomal RNA", at positions 524 to 776 of the family's 1533-position model. The record is from RNAcentral.